This 74-nucleotide transfer RNA is filed under the name Microgenomates group bacterium RBG_19FT_COMBO_39_10. Its description in RNAcentral is "tRNA-Pro". The record is from RNAcentral.
CGGGGUGUAGCUCAGUUGGCAAGAGCGCUAGCAUCGGGAGCUAGAGGUCGUGAGUCCGAGUCUCACCACCCCGA